GACGAACGCUGGCGGCGUGCUUAACACAUGCAAGUCGAACGGAAAGGCCCUGCUUUUGUGGGGUGCUCGAGUGGCGAACGGGUGAGUAACACGUGAGUAACCUGCCCUUGACUUUGGGAUAACUUCAGGAAACUGGGGCUAAUACCGGAUAGGAGCUCCUGCUGCAUGGUGGGGGUUGGAAAGUUUCGGCGGUUGGGGAUGGACUCGCGGCUUAUCAGCUUGUUGGUGGGGUAGUGGCUUACCAAGGCUUUGACGGGUAGCCGGCCUGAGAGGGUGACCGGCCACAUUGGGACUGAGAUACGGCCCAGACUCCUCCGGGAGGCAGCAGGGGGGAAUAUUGCACAAUGGGCGGAAGCCUGAUGCAGAAACGCCGCGUGCGGGAUGACGGCCUUCGGGUUGUAAACCGCUUUCGCCUGUGACGAAGCGUGAGUGACGGUAAUGGGUAAAGAAGCACCGGCUAACUACGUG
RNAcentral lists this ribosomal RNA (468 nucleotides) under uncultured bacterium. RNAcentral describes it as "partial 16S ribosomal RNA". It matches the Rfam family "Bacterial small subunit ribosomal RNA", at positions 28 to 507 of the family's 1533-position model. The record is from RNAcentral.